Tachyglossus aculeatus (Australian echidna) is the source of this 138-nucleotide small nucleolar RNA. NCBI's taxonomy places the organism in Eukaryota, Metazoa, Chordata, Mammalia, Monotremata, Tachyglossidae. The record is from RefSeq and is a predicted model, not a curated record.
CACCCUCACGGAUGGCACCUGGAGAGUUUCCAGUACUCUACCAGUCUUGGCUAUGGGAGGGAGAGUCAAGCAGAGGCAUUCCCCUUCUGUUCCUAGUUUGGGCAGUGGCUAGUGAGUGGAAGGCAAUCUGCUACAAGU